Molecule: non-coding RNA, 702 nt
Organism: Suricata suricatta (meerkat)
Lineage: Eukaryota; Metazoa; Chordata; Mammalia; Carnivora; Herpestidae
Source: the annotation of a RefSeq genome assembly
CCAGCCAGGAACCUGCAGCUGGGAGAGGAGCCCCAGACCCAGGAGUCCAGGUGUUCCCGUUCUGUGAUCAGGACAGAACACAGACCUCUCACUAUGGAGUUUGUGCUUGGCUGGGUUUUCCUUGUUGCUGUUUUAAAAGGUGUCCAGUGUGAGGUGCAGCUGGUGGAGUCUGGGGGAGGCCUGGCGAAGCCUGGGGGCUCCCUGCGACUCUCCUGUGCAGCCUCCGGAUUUGACUUCAGUAGCCAUGGCAUGAACUGGGUCCGCCAGGCUCCCCAGAAGGGGCUGGAGUGGGUCUCAGGUAUUAAUUAUGAUGGAAGUAGCACAAGCUAUGAGGACUCCAUGAAGGGUCGAUUCACCAUCUCCAGAGACAACGCCAAGAACACGCUCUAUCUGCAGAUGAACAACCUGAGAGUCGAGGACACGGCCAUGUAUUUCUGUGCGAGAGACACAGUGAGGGGACUUCAGUGUGAGCCCAGACACAAACUUCCCUGUAGAAGGAGAACAUCACCACCAGGGGGUGCACACUCUGUACAAUUCUGGUUUGUGUUCCCUGGAGCAGGUGCAGAUGGAGGUUACAGGCAGGUUUCCUGUCAGGGUUUGGGGCUUCCUUUCCACACAGCUGUUUCCCCCAGGGAGCCUCUCUGGACCCAUGAUUCUGUGCUUACCUACUCACUCUCUGUAUUAGAAAGCUUGUUGUCAUAG